GACGAACGCUGGCGGCGUGGAUUAGGCAUGCAAGUCGGACGGUAGAGCUUUAUCGUAAGAUAGAGUUUGAGAGUGGCGAACUGGUGAGUAACACGUAGGUUAUCUACCCUCAAGACGGGGACAACCCAGGGAAACUUGGGCUAAUACCGGAUGUGAGCAACUUUUAGUUGUUUGAAAGGUGGCGUAAGCUGUCGCUUGGGGAUGAGCCUGCGUCCUAUUAGUUAGUUGGUGAGGUAACGGCUCACCUAGGCAAUGAUAGGUAGGCGGCCUUAACGGGUGGUCGCCCACACUGGGAUUGAGAUACGGCCCAGACUCCUACGGGAGGCAGCAGUCGAGAAUAGUCUACAAUGGUCGGAAGACUGAUAGUGCGACGCCGCGUGAACGAUGAAUCCCUUCGGGGUGUAAAGUUCUUUUAUAUGUGAGCAGUGCUUCUUAUAUUAACAGUAUGGGGAGAGAGAUAUUAGCAUAUGAAUAAGCAACGGCUAACUCCGUGCCAGCAGCCGC
RNAcentral lists this ribosomal RNA (504 nucleotides) under uncultured bacterium. RNAcentral's name for it is "bacterial SSU rRNA". It matches the Rfam family "Bacterial small subunit ribosomal RNA", at positions 28 to 518 of the family's 1533-position model. The record is from RNAcentral.